GAUGAACGCUGGUGGCGUGCCUAACACAUGCAAGUCGAGCGAUUCUCUUCGGAGAAGAGCGGCGGACGGGUGAGUAACGCGUGGGUAACCUGCCCUGUACACACGGAUAACAUACCGAAAGGUAUGCUAAUACGAGAUAACAUGCUUUUAUCGCAUUGUAGAAGUAUCAAAGCUUUUGCGGUACAGGAUGGACCCGCGUCUGAUUAGCUAGUUGGUGAGGUAACGGCUCACCAAGGCGACGAUCAGUAGCCGACCUGAGAGGGUGAUCGGCCACAUUGGAACUGAGACACGGUCCAAACUCCUACGGGAGGCAGCAGUGGGGAAUAUUGCACAAUGGGCGAAAGCCUGAUGCAGCAACGCCGCGUGAGCGAUGAAGGCCUUCGGGUCGUAAAGCUCUGUCCUCAAGGAAGAUAAUGACGGUACUUGAGGAGGAAGCCCCGGCUAACUACGUG
This 452-nucleotide ribosomal RNA is filed under the name uncultured bacterium. Its description in RNAcentral is "partial 16S ribosomal RNA". It matches the Rfam family "Bacterial small subunit ribosomal RNA", at positions 28 to 507 of the family's 1533-position model. The record is from RNAcentral.